UCACAAAUUACAGAUUAUACCAUCUUCUCUAGGACAUCAAUGGCCCUGAGUAAAGUUUUGCAAACCCGCAUUAUGCCUUGCAUCUGGAAUUGAGAGGUGCACAUUAAGUUCAAACCCUACCUAUCUUCCAUUUCUUUACUAUCAGUGAUCCACUGAAUCAAAAAGUACAUUCUUCUGCAGAAAAGUUAAAAGGAAGAAACGCUAAAAGGAUCGAAUUUUCCACUUUGUUUUUGUAUGUGAAUUCAAGGCAGUUACAUCACAGGAAAGCAGCAUCAUGGAUUUCUUAAAGACCCUAUGAUCGGAGAGCUCCUGAACGAGACAGUUAUUAACCACAUCUGAAAUUCCGAAACCCUAAGUGGAACACUAAAAAGGACAUAAAUUUUACAGAUAUAGAAAGGAUUAUGGAAAGGACUAUUUUCUCCAGGGAAUCCGGGGUCUAAGUGUUCUUCAGAUCAAAAAGAGCUGCCAGCUUCACGAGGUGAGCCUCCACCUCCAUUAGGGUUUCCUUCUUUUCCAUUCUUUGACGCCACAGAGAUAUCAGAGCUAUGGUUUCCUUCUUUUCCAUUCUGGUUUCCUUCUUUUCCGUUCUUUGAAGCCACAGAGCUGGCAAUAGAAGCAAGGAUAUUGGCCUUGAUUUGGCCUCUCCGUGGAGGUUUCUCAUCUCUUUUGCUUUACUUUCCACUGAUGUCAUUUCUAGGAAUAUUUCAGAAUAAAACCUUGACACAGAGACUUUUGAGUGAGAGAGAAAUAAUCGCAGAGGAAUAAGAGAGAGAGUUUAAUGAGACAGUUAAUGGAGAGAGAGAGUUGAAUGAGAGAGUUAAUGGAGAGAGAGAGAGUUGAAUGAGAGAGUUAAUGGAGCGAGAGAGUUAAUGGAGCGAGAGAGUUGAUGGCGAGAGUGAGUUGGGAGGAAUGAAAGCGAGUCUUGAUAAGGUGAGUUAGGGAAUUUUGCAGAGACAAAAAGAGGGAAUUGGAGAAAGAGAGAAUUUUGCAGAGAGAAGUAAAAGACAGAGGGAGUUUAGCUGAAAGAGAGAGGAGAGAUAAACGUUGAGAGAGAGAGAGAGAAAGAGAGAGAGAAAGAGAGAGAG
This 1085-nucleotide long non-coding RNA is filed under the name Amborella trichopoda. Its description in RNAcentral is "long non-coding RNA (ATRI_LNC000470)". The record is from RNAcentral. Lineage: Eukaryota; Viridiplantae; Streptophyta; Magnoliopsida; Amborellales; Amborellaceae.